This 304-nucleotide long non-coding RNA is filed under the name Oryza brachyantha (malo sina). RNAcentral describes it as "long non-coding RNA (OBRA_LNC003593)". The record is from RNAcentral. Lineage: Eukaryota; Viridiplantae; Streptophyta; Magnoliopsida; Poales; Poaceae.
CAAUAAAAGGGCGGAUCCCUCAAGGAUAUGGGCAACUCUCUUGGUCUACCGAAGAAAAAUACAUCAAGCAUACUAUUGCUUGCCACAAAUAGAGUCUCAAAUUGGUAGGUUUCUGGCUGAUUGCCAAAAUGAAGUAUACUGACUUGCUAAGCCAAGCAAAAGUAAGCAAAUGGUUGGGAGGGCAUGUAGAGCUGUAACGACAAGCAUCAUUGAAUAGGAAAGGAAAAGCAAACUCCCAAUGAAACUAGCCCGCAAUCCACCUAUUACCUACCCGACGCCAUUGAAAGAAAGUGCUACUGCUUUA